RNAcentral lists this ribosomal RNA (554 nucleotides) under Equus caballus (horse). Its description in RNAcentral is "partial large subunit ribosomal RNA". It matches the Rfam family "Bacterial large subunit ribosomal RNA", at positions 1816 to 2597 of the family's 2925-position model. The record is from RNAcentral. Lineage: Eukaryota; Metazoa; Chordata; Mammalia; Perissodactyla; Equidae.
CACCUCUAGCAUUUCCAGUAUUAGAGGCACUGCCUGCCCAGUGACAUCUGUUUAAACGGCCGCGGUAUCCUAACCGUGCAAAGGUAGCAUAAUCACUUGUUCCCUAAAUAGGGACUUGUACGAAUGGCCACACGAGGGCUUUACUGUCUCUUACUUCCAAUCAGUGAAAUUGACCUUCCCGUGAAGAGGCGGGAAUGACUAAAUAAGACGAGAAGACCCUAUGGAGCUUUAAUUAACUGAUUCACAAAAAACAACACACAAACCUAACCUUCAGGGACAACAAAACUUUUGAUUGAAUCAGCAAUUUCGGUUGGGGUGACCUCGGAGAACAAAACAACCUCCGAGUGAUUUAAAUCCAGACUAACCAGUCAAAAUAUAUAAUCACUUAUUGAUCCAAACCAUUGAUCAACGGAACAAGUUACCCUAGGGAUAACAGCGCAAUCCUAUUCCAGAGUCCAUAUCGACAAUUAGGGUUUACGACCUCGAUGUUGGAUCAAGACAUCCUAAUGGUGCAACCGCUAUUAAGGGUUCGUUUGUUCAACGAUUAAAGUCUU